AGUCGUCCGAAAUCUAACUUGGUAACAGUUGACGAUAACUGGAUAUUGCUCAGAAUAGAGAUCUUUCAAAUCGGCUCUUUCCACCAUUCGGGUGCACAGGACCCAUCGCCUGUAGCAUUUAAAAACUCUCACAUAUUUUGUUGUUAUGAAAGAAAUGUAAUUAACCAUUAUUAGUAUCAUGAUUUGAUGCGGCUCAGUCCACUGAAAUGUUUUCGAGUUAUUUAGUUUUUCAAAUUUUAGGAAAACUAUGCCUUUUUCUCUAAGUUGAUUGAUUUUGAUUAUUUGGGGAAAAAACAUGAAAUAAUUCAAUUUUAUAAUAUUUUAUAAUAAUAAAAUUUUGAUGUCUCUUUCGAAAACUCAAAUAUUAAUUUAAUAUUGUUCUUGAUGCUGAGUUGUUUAUGAUGCAUAAUCGUCAGGAGAAAAAAGAAAAACAAACCGUUUCCAAUCAUCGAAGUAUGAACGAAGGCGUGCGCGGUGCGCCUUUCGGCAAAGCACACCACCAGAGACGUUGUUUAUAGAUAGAGACCCGCGCAGACUGAAGCCGAAAGUACCAAUCGAACCGUCAAACGCGGUACCAAUCGAACAAUGUAAAUAAACAUGCAAGUUUUGUGAUGAAGUGUUUGAGGAGUAUUGUAAUUAUUUCAAACAAGAUUUAAAAUAAGUUGCAACCUGUUGUUUUUGCUUGUAAACGUGAACGGAAGGAUGCUCAGCUUUAUGAAAACAACAAAAGUUUCACUUCAUCGCGGAAAAAAUACACCGGAUCGGACCAGGAAAUGAAGCAUCUGGAGGAUAAGGAUCAUGCAUUUAUCGGAAACUUAGUGCUUCGAGCUGUGAAACAACCCAUCUAUAAAUAUGGUCACUACAUCCCAGUCUCGUUAUUUUUAAUCAGUUUAUGUUAAUCAAUGUUUUCCGGGUGAUUGUGUGUUAUAUACGCGAAUAAUAAAUGAAGCGGAGUUGCACGAGGCCAACUCGUAUCCAGCCUACCCCGUUAUCGCAGCCUACCCCAAAAAAAUGGAUUGUGCUUUGCAAGAAAUAAACUUGAAGGUAAAUACCCUAUACCAAACCAUCAAUAAGUUCAAUGGAUUUCGACGUUUUAAAUCACUGUUCUGCUUUCCGGGUAUUUGUGUAUCGCCGUAAUUAAUAGCACCACUCCCGACGUAAAAUAUUUUCAAAGCUGUACCUGAAAAAUAAAUGUAGCACAAGUAAAAUAAAUAAUAA
Molecule: long non-coding RNA, 1218 nt
Organism: Armigeres subalbatus
Lineage: Eukaryota; Metazoa; Arthropoda; Insecta; Diptera; Culicidae
Exons: 3
Source: RefSeq, a predicted model, not a curated record